CCUUCGAUAGCUCAGUUGGUAGAGCGGGGGACUGUAGAUUUAUAAUUGUGAUCCCUAGGUCGCUGGUUCGAAUCCGGCUCGAAGAA
Non-coding RNA from Nematostella vectensis (starlet sea anemone), 86 nucleotides. Lineage: Eukaryota; Metazoa; Cnidaria; Anthozoa; Actiniaria; Edwardsiidae. The record is from Rfam.